RNAcentral lists this small nuclear RNA (121 nucleotides) under Pteropus alecto (black flying fox). Its description in RNAcentral is "U4 spliceosomal RNA". It matches the Rfam family "U4 spliceosomal RNA". From Rfam's summary of the family: U4 small nuclear RNA (U4 snRNA) is a component of the major U2-dependent spliceosome. The record is from Rfam by way of RNAcentral. Lineage: Eukaryota; Metazoa; Chordata; Mammalia; Chiroptera; Pteropodidae.
AGCUUUGUGCAGUGGCAGUAUGGUAGCUAAUGAGGUUUAUCCGAGGCACGGUUAUUGCUAAUUAAAACCUGUCAAAUUUGUCUAUAUUUUACUAGUCUAUAAACUUUUUACAAACCAUGUU